Small nucleolar RNA from Zygosaccharomyces rouxii, 145 nucleotides. The record is from RefSeq and is a predicted model, not a curated record. NCBI's taxonomy places the organism in Eukaryota, Fungi, Ascomycota, Saccharomycetes, Saccharomycetales, Saccharomycetaceae.
CUAUGGUUGAUCGAUGGAUGAUCUCUAUCAUUCUUCUUAAGAAGCCCUGAUGACCAACCAAUGCAUAGUUCACACUGAAUGCAAUUUGUGAAGAUACCAACGAUUUUAGUCUUUCGCUCCUAUCUGACUGGCUUUCUCAACGUAG